This is a long non-coding RNA of Perognathus longimembris pacificus (Pacific pocket mouse), 483 nucleotides long. RefSeq lists it as uncharacterized. NCBI's taxonomy places the organism in Eukaryota, Metazoa, Chordata, Mammalia, Rodentia, Heteromyidae. The transcript is spliced from 3 exons. The record is from RefSeq and is a predicted model, not a curated record.
GGAAGGUUUCACUGUGAGCCCAUCAGAAUAGCAGCGCAGUCCUCCUUAUUUUCUAUUACUGGUCAUUUCUUGGUGCCCGUAUCCGACUAGUCUGAAUCACAACCUCCCUUCCCACAGCGAAAGAAGCAAGUCUUCCUGUCCACGACAGAGAGCCCUUGUGAGGAAUGAGAAACUUGACCACCUUGUUCUUGCUCGAAGCAAGUGUCAGGGAGAAACUAGAGCUUGGCCAAACACUGAUCUGUUACUUCUGGGCUGCAACUAGAAAUAAGUGCCUGUCAGACUUCCUUGUUUGCAAUCCAUUUUCAUCAUGCUGAGACAUGAAUGGAAAACUAAGCCAAAACAAAGCCUUCUUUGGAAAUGAGGUGACUAGUCAUUCUUGGCAGCACUCAGUCCUCCAAUUUGGUGUUUCAGCUGGUGCUUACAAAACAGGCAGAGAACCCCGUCCACUUACGCAUUUUAAUAUUGAACUAUUGUGUAAAACAU